This 67-nucleotide transfer RNA is filed under the name Friesea antarctica. RNAcentral's name for it is "tRNA-Ile". Lineage: Eukaryota; Metazoa; Arthropoda; Collembola; Poduromorpha; Neanuridae. The record is from RNAcentral.
AAUAGAGUGCCUGAAAAUAGGGAGUAUUCUGAUAGAGUAAAUUAUACAAGCUAAAUUGUCUCUAUUA